RNAcentral lists this small nucleolar RNA (99 nucleotides) under Moniliophthora perniciosa FA553. RNAcentral's name for it is "A. fumigatus snoRNA Afu_304". It matches the Rfam family "A. fumigatus snoRNA Afu_304". The record is from Rfam by way of RNAcentral. Lineage: Eukaryota; Fungi; Basidiomycota; Agaricomycetes; Agaricales; Marasmiaceae.
CACUCGGAUGAAAAAGAGCACUCGGCUCGAUAUAACCCAGCUCGUCGAGGAGGGAGUAACGCCCCAUUAUUCCUAUGAGAUAUUUAAUCUUCCUGAUAU